GCCUCGCCGGCCUGGGGAGCACUGCGCACGCGCGCCCGCUAACGGGUCUGUGGCGGCCGCCGGGUUGGCGCCUGGCGGGCGUCGUUCGAGCGGGGGGCGGAUGAGGGGGGCGCCGAGGCCAUGAGCUCCCGGAAAGUGUUGGCCCUGCAGGCCCGAAGGCGCCGCGCCAAGCACCCGUCGGCAGCCGGCGGGAAAGACAAGCAGCAGCCGCCGCCGCAGCGCAAAAA
Long non-coding RNA from Heteronotia binoei (common prickly gecko), 227 nucleotides. RefSeq lists it as uncharacterized. NCBI's taxonomy places the organism in Eukaryota, Metazoa, Chordata, Lepidosauria, Squamata, Gekkonidae. The transcript has 2 exons. The record is from RefSeq and is a predicted model, not a curated record.